AGUUUGAUCCUGGCUCAGGAUGAACGCUAGCGGGAGGCCUAACACAUGCAAGCCGAGCGGUAUUGUUUCUUCGGAAAUGAGAGAGCGGCGUACGGGUGCGGAACACGUGUGCAACCUGCCUUUAUCUGGGGGAUAGCCUUUCGAAAGGAAGAUUAAUACUCCAUAAUAUAUUGAACGGCAUCGUUUAAUAUUGAAAGCUCCGGCGGAUAGGGAUGGGCACGCGCAAGAUUAGCUAGUUGGUGAGGUAACGGCUCACCAAGGCAAUGAUCUUUAGGGGGCCUGAGAGGGUGAUCCCCCACACUGGUACUGAGACACGGACCAGACUCCUACGGGAGGCAGCAGUGAGGAAUAUUGGUCAAUGGGUGCAAGCCUGAACCAGCCAUCCCGCGUGAAGGACGACUGCCCUAUGGGUUGUAAACUUCUUUUGUAUAGGGAUAAACCUUUCCACGUGUGGAAAGCUGAAGGUACUAUACGAAUAAGCACCGGCUAACUCCGUG
This 497-nucleotide ribosomal RNA is filed under the name uncultured bacterium. Its description in RNAcentral is "bacterial SSU rRNA". It matches the Rfam family "Bacterial small subunit ribosomal RNA", at positions 10 to 507 of the family's 1533-position model. The record is from RNAcentral.